This is a small nucleolar RNA of Cavia porcellus (domestic guinea pig), 137 nucleotides long. Lineage: Eukaryota; Metazoa; Chordata; Mammalia; Rodentia; Caviidae. The record is from Ensembl.
CUGGCCCUGAAUCAAGGCUGACAGCUCCCUGACGAUGUUGGUUUCAAGCAGGAGCCUAAGGAGAUGUCUUUAUAUGAGCUGUUGGCCAUUUCAGAACUUGGGCAGUGAAAUGGUUAAUUCAUUAGAAAGAAACAGAU